UACGUAGGGGGCGAGCGUUAUUCGGAAUCAUUGGGCGUAAAGGGCGCGUAGGCGGCCUGAUAAGUCAAAGGUGAAAUCCCUCGGCUCAACUGAGGAACUGCCUUUGAAACUGCCAGGCUUGAGGCCGGGAGGGGGUGGCGGAAUUCCCAGUGUAGCGGUGAAAUGCGUAGAUAUUGGGAGGAACACCAGUGGCGAAGGCGGCCACCUGGACCGGUUCUGACGCUGAUGCGCGAAAGCGUGGGGAGCAAACAGG
Molecule: ribosomal RNA, 253 nt
Filed under: uncultured bacterium
Lineage: Bacteria
Description: partial 16S ribosomal RNA
Rfam family: Bacterial small subunit ribosomal RNA
Source: RNAcentral